UUUGAGGAUGUGGCUAUGAAAUUUACUUAGAAGGAGUAGGCUUUCCUGGCUCCUGCUCAAAGGAGCCCCUACAGAGAUGUGAUGCUGGAAAAAUGCUGUAGGAAUCUGGCCUCAGUAGAUUGUGAGAUUCAACUUAAAACCCAUGAGUCAGUUGUUCAGCAGGAUAUUCAUGAAGAAAAAAAUUCCAAUGAACAGAAAGUAGUAAGAAUAACAAGGAAUAACUCCUGGUUCUCCAUUUUAGGAGAAAACUGGGAAUAUCAUGUCAUUAAAAUUCAGCACAGAACAAGGAGAGACAUUUGAGAAGCCAUAUGUAGAUAGCAUCUAUAAAAGUAAUGAAUGUAAUCAGUGUGGAAAAAACUUCAGGCAUUUUCCAAACCUUAGUGUGCUGAAGAGAACCCCUGUUGGGGUCAAAGCCUAUAAAAGUGUAUGUGGAAAAGCCUUUAUGGAUCAUUCCUCCCUUAAGAAUCAUGUCAGAUCUCACCUGCACACAAACUCUAUCAUUGUAAGGAAUGUGGACAAGCCUGCUGUUGUUGCUCAUAUUUAAGGAUUUCUCUAAGUAGUCAUGAUGGAGAUAAAUGCUAUAAAUGCAAGGAAUGCUGGGAAGGCUUCACAGUGGAGAGAAGGCUUAUGAAUGUAAAAAUUGUAGAAAGAUCCUUAAUGAGUUUUUAAAAUUUACAAGUGAGAACACACAAUGGAGACAAACUGUCAAGAUUUAACGAAUAUGACCAAGAUUUUGUUGUACUAUAUACCUUAAGACAUGUGAGAAUUCACACUAGAGAAAACACACGAGGGAGAGCCUUCACUAAUUGCUUAUUUGUUAUUGUACAUGUGAGAGGUCACUCUGUAGAUAAAUUAUAUGACUGUAGAGUUGGAAUUUAUCCAUAAGUCAUUUUCAAAUCUUAGGUAACAUGUGAGAUCUCAGGCUAUGGAGAGACCCUAUAAAUAUGCAAAACAUAGGAAAGUCUUUAGU
This 970-nucleotide long non-coding RNA is filed under the name Homo sapiens (human). Its description in RNAcentral is "non-protein coding lnc-ICOS-3:1". Lineage: Eukaryota; Metazoa; Chordata; Mammalia; Primates; Hominidae. The record is from RNAcentral.